This 751-nucleotide long non-coding RNA is filed under the name Betula platyphylla (Asian white birch). RNAcentral's name for it is "salt induced long non-coding RNA 6". Lineage: Eukaryota; Viridiplantae; Streptophyta; Magnoliopsida; Fagales; Betulaceae. The record is from RNAcentral.
AGGGAAAGGCAGCUUUCAUUGAGGUUCCACUACCUUUAUUGCUAAUUUGUAUUAAGUAAAACUCAAACUACUGUAAUUUGAUACUAUAUUUUGAACUCUUUCCUGAGGAAUUUUGUUGGAGGACAAUACAUCUUUGCUUCAGAUUUUAAAUCUGAGUUUUGAGGUAAUGUAUAGUUUUCCAUCAUUAAAUUUAAGGUCAAUCAAAAUUUUGUUUAUAAGAACCUCCCUUGACAUGUUUAUCAAGUUAAGAGAACUUGAGUAAAUAAUGCAAGGGAGUAAAAUUAGCAUAACAUUUUUUUAAGUUUGUUUACAGAUGUUGAGCUGAUUCAAAGUAUAGAGUAUGAAGUUGAUGUUUAUCAAUUCAAGACACCCUUGAAAAGUAAUAUUGACAUUAAUUGGCAUUUCUCCCAAAAGUGAGGCCCAAGGAGAUACUUGGUAGGUUCAUUAGUAAGCAUUAAUAAUAUAGUGAUGAUCUUGGUUCAUUUGAGGAGUCUCUGGUUGGUUAAUUUGUAAUACAAUGAUGAUGUUGGUUCAUUAGUAAUAUAGUGAUGAUGCUGGUUCAUUUGAGUAGUCUUUGGUUGGUUCAUUAGUAAUACAGUGAUGAUGUUGUUCAUUUGAGGGGUCUCUGGUUAGUAAUGCAGUGAUGAUGUUAGUUUAUUGAGAUUAGUAAGACAUUAAUAUUAUUUUUAAAAGUAAAACUGAUAUUGGGAGGUUCCUGGUCGGAUCAUUUGAGGAGUCUCUUUUGUCUAGC